GAUGAAGAACGUAGCGAAAUGCGAUAAGUAAUGUGAAUUGCAGAAUUCAGUGAAUCAUCGAAUCUUUGAACGCAUCUUGCGCUCCUUGGUAUUCUGAGGAGCAUGCCUGUUUGAGUGUCAUUAAAUUCUCAACUACACUGACUUUGAAUUGGUGUGGCUUGGAUUUGGGGGGAAAAUUGUUGUGGGCUUUUUGUAUAGUCUGCUCCCCUGAAAUUGAUUAGCGGUACCUUUGUGGAACUGUCUACAGGUGUGAUAAUUAUCUACAUCUUAGACACCUGCUGGAAUGCUGCUUUCUAAACCUUACUUGUAUUGACAAUCUUGACCUCAAAUCAGGUAGGACUACCCGCUGAACUUAAGCAUAUCAAUAAGCGGAGGA
This 376-nucleotide unclassified non-coding RNA is filed under the name soil metagenome. RNAcentral's name for it is "partial contains 5.8S ribosomal RNA, internal transcribed spacer 2, and large subunit ribosomal RNA". The stretch from base 1 to 120 matches the Rfam family "5.8S ribosomal RNA", at positions 35 to 154 of the family's 154-position model. The record is from RNAcentral.